CCGAUCGCCAUCGCGGGCGUGUACGCGCUCGGACUGGCUCCGCGCGGGUCUCCCUACCGCGGCGGCUCUGGUGCGAGACACGCGUCUUCCUCCCGUUCGACGUCGCCUCUGAGGAGCUUCGCGACGCGCCACCGCCGGGCAGCAGCACGGCGCGUCCCACGUGGCGCCCAUGCGCGAGUACAGCACGGUGACUCUCGAGCUCUCUCGGUCCGCCUGCCAUCCGAGCCCUCAUCACCUCGAUUUUGCGCAGGUUCGCCGUUUGUUCCUCGGCUGAGAAUCGAGUGUUCUGCCGCUGCCGUAGCGCUCGCUCCGCCGCCUCCCGAACCAUCCCGAGCUCUGAGCCAUCCCGCGCGCUCAUCCUGCGUUCCCGAGUCGUCCUCCCGAGGGCCCUCCAACGCUGCUUGCACACGUGUGCUCGCGAAGGCUCCCGAAGGAAGAGGCACCAUGCCGCGCCAUAGUAAGGCCGCCUGAGCCAUCCCUCGCGCCCCCUCCCCCCUGCGCUCGUUGGUCCUUUCCUUUCCCUCCUCUUCCGCCGCCCGCACCGGUCCGCCGCCGACCAGGGCGCGACGCAGGUGAAUCGAGGAGACCGAAGCAAGAAUCCCCAAGAAAACAACCCAAAUCCAAGCAACGAUUGAGGAAUCCGUACAUUGAGCUGCCCUGCUCCUUCACCCUCUUCUUUCCCUCCUCCUCCGCUGCCCGUGCCAGUCCGCCGACGACCAGGGCGCCCCGCAGGUGAAUCGAGGACACAUAAGGAAAAGUCCCCAAGAAAACAACCCAAAUCCAAGCAGCGAAUGAGGAAUCUGUAGAUCCACUAACGCUGCUUGAGUCCCCAGCUACCACUGGUAUCAGCUAGCUUCAGCAUCACCGUCGUCUUGCAUCAUAUAAGGAUAAACUAAUGCAGCUGAGGUCUAAGCGGAAGACAUGGGCGUGACAGGAGCUCAACUCGUGUUCUGUUUUCUGUCCAGUCAUUCUCCCUUCACAGAACUGUGAUUGUUUUUAACUUUUGUACAGCGUGGCUUGCCUGGAUGGUGUCAAGACCCCGAACACCAGUUGAGUGAUGUGGGAGAUGGGGAUGUCAAUCAAGAAUGUGAUCCUGGAAACAUGGACGAUAUGUAUGGUGGCGUGACAGUCAAUUCUGAGAUUGAUUCUUUGCCUGAUCCAAAGGACCAACAUCACAGGUUACCUGGCUGAAGUUGGAAUUGUGCCGAUUGCUAGAGGAGAGAAGAUCAUCUGUUCUCAGGUUUAUUUAUUCCUUUCCAGAUACUCCAAGCAUUCAUAUAACUAUUCUUAUGAUUAUGACAACACACCGUCGGGAUAUAAUUCGAGAUAUGCUAGAAAUACAUAUUCCAGUUAUAACGCGAGGUGACUGAAGCUUUGGCACAAGUAGGUCUUGAAUCUUCAAAUCUUAUUGUAGGCAUUGAUUUUACAAAGAGCAAUGAAUGGAUAGGUCCUUGCCACCAAAUGUGAGGAGCUUCCGUCGAAUGGGAUGAUGUUAAUAUAUCUUUCAGCUGCAGGUGAGGUGGGAACUUCUGGAUUUUGUCUUGAUACAGGCGAGAAGGUUGUCAGCAACUUUAGUAAGUUUGAUAUAUCCAAUACUAGCCGUACAGGUUCAAAGGAAGACAAUGAACCGGGCCUUUGGUUAGAUUGCCGUGAAACUGAAGACUUGAAUUAUAUUCUUCUUAGUAAGAAGUAUAUUGUUUCUGACAUGUUCGAAACAUCUAGGUUCAAACUCCAUAUACCCUUGUGAUCUAAUCCCAUUUACAAGAAGACCCCUCUUUUUGGUGGUUGACAGUAGCGUCAGCUAUGCAUUCAAGGCAGGUUUGUUUAAUCCUUUUACCCUUCCUAGUCCCGAGCAACCACUACUAUAAUUCUGGGCAGUGAGGGCUGGGGACUUUUUCUUUCCCUCUUGUGAGUGGACUAUCCACAUUGUUGUAAUUGUUGGCCAUUCACUGGUAGACAGAUCUAUAGUUGCUUGAAUUCAAUAUAGGAAUAUGGUUUAUGCUACAUCGUUUGCCUUAUCUUGCUUAGACAGAUCGAUCAUGCACAUCACUUGAUUGUUUCCUUCCAUAUAUUCAUCGAAAUUUGCAACAAUUGUUUUAAUAAAAUUUGUGACCUUGAGUGCU
Phragmites australis (common reed) is the source of this 2123-nucleotide RNA transcript. RefSeq lists it as uncharacterized. The record is from RefSeq and is a predicted model, not a curated record. The transcript is spliced from 9 exons. NCBI's taxonomy places the organism in Eukaryota, Viridiplantae, Streptophyta, Magnoliopsida, Poales, Poaceae.